UGGAUCACCUCCUAACAGGGAGACAACAAAAUGUUUAAUAUUAUUAUUUUGUCACCUUAGGUCGAUCGGUAUCUCACGUUUUUAAUUUAUUAAGAAUUUCAUUUCCUAAGUUUUUCUAGGUCACACCCAUUAUUUUUCCUGGGCCAUUAGCUCAGGUGGUUAGAGCGCACCCCUGAUAAGGGUGAGGUCCCUGGUUCAAGUCCAGGAUGGCCCAUAUCUCUAUGUUGGGGGUAUAGCUCAGUUGGUAGAGCGCCUGCUUUGCAAGCAGGAUGUCAGCGGUUCGAGUCCGCUUACCUCCACUGAUUACCACCUCUUCCAUAAUCGGUAGAAAGGAAAUGUUUUGAGUUGUGAUCAAAUUCUGAAAGAAUCUAGCUUCCUAAUGAAAUCAUUAAGAUGCUGGACUCAUUGAAUUAAUUUCAUUGUUUUCAGAGAACCUUGACAACUGCAUAGAUUAUUUUUAAAGACAAUAAGCAUCUUUAAUGAUGCAGAUUUAUUAUUUGUGCGAAUGCAUUAAUAACAAUUCUAUUAAGCUGAUGCUUCAAUUUUUGAAGUUAUUGGUCAAGCUACAAAGGGCUCACGGAGGAUACCUAGGCACACAGAGGCGAUGAAGG
This 611-nucleotide transfer RNA is filed under the name uncultured Prochlorococcus sp. RNAcentral describes it as "partial contains 16S ribosomal RNA, 16S-23S ribosomal RNA intergenic spacer, and 23S ribosomal RNA". The stretch from base 227 to 299 matches the Rfam family "tRNA". The record is from RNAcentral. Lineage: Bacteria; Bacillati; Cyanobacteriota; Cyanophyceae; Synechococcales; Prochlorococcaceae.